RNAcentral lists this transfer RNA (73 nucleotides) under Pseudomonadota bacterium. Its description in RNAcentral is "tRNA-Phe". It matches the Rfam family "tRNA". Rfam says of the family: Transfer RNA (tRNA) molecules are approximately 80 nucleotides in length. Their secondary structure includes four short double-helical elements and three loops (D, anti-codon, and T loops). Further hydrogen bonds mediate the characteristic L-shaped molecular structure. tRNAs have two regions of fundamental functional importance: the anti-codon, which is responsible for specific mRNA codon recognition, and the 3' end, to which the tRNAs corresponding amino acid is attached (by aminoacyl-tRNA synthetases). tRNAs cope with the degeneracy of the genetic code in two manners: having more than one tRNA (with a specific anti-codon) for a particular amino acid; and 'wobble' base-pairing, i.e. permitting non-standard base-pairing at the 3rd anti-codon position. RNAcentral also lists the same sequence under 3 other names. Lineage: Bacteria; Pseudomonadati; Pseudomonadota. The record is from RNAcentral.
GGUCAGGUAGCUCAGUUGGUAGAGCAAGGGACUGAAAAUCCCUGUGUCGGCGGUUCAAGUCCGCCCCUGACCA